CCUUCGGGUUGUAAAGCUCUUUCGGCCGGAACGAAAUCGCGUACGUGAAUAACGUGCGUGGAUGACGGUACUGGAAGAAGAAGCACCGGCUAACUACGUGC
This 101-nucleotide ribosomal RNA is filed under the name uncultured bacterium. Its description in RNAcentral is "partial 16S ribosomal RNA". The record is from RNAcentral.